RNAcentral lists this ribosomal RNA (757 nucleotides) under uncultured bacterium. Its description in RNAcentral is "bacterial SSU rRNA". It matches the Rfam family "Bacterial small subunit ribosomal RNA", at positions 28 to 776 of the family's 1533-position model. The record is from RNAcentral.
AUUGAACGCUGGCGGCAGGCUUAACACAUGCAAGUCGGACGGUAACAGGAGGAAAGCUUGCUUUCUUUGUGACGAGUGGCGGACGGGUGAGUAAUGCUUGGGAAUCUGUUUUAUGGAGGGGGAUAUACGGGAAACUGUAGCUAAUACCGCGUAAUAUCGAGAGAUUAAAGUGUGGGACCGUAAGGCCACAUUCCAUAGAGUGAGCCCAAGUGGGAUUAGGUAGUUGGUGGGGUAAAGGCCUACCAAGCCGUCGAUCUCUAGGUGGUCUGAGAGGAUGACCAGCCACACUGGGACUGAGACACGGCCCAGACUCCUACGGGAGGCAGCAGUGGGGAAUAUUGCACAAUGGGCGCAAGCCUGAUGCAGCCAUGCCGCGUGAAUGAAGAAGGCCUUCGGGUUGUAAAGUUCUUUCGGUGGUGAGGAAGGUUGUAAUGUUAAUAGCAUUAUAAUUUGACGUUAGCCACAGAAGAAGCACCGGCUAACUCCGUGCCAGCAGCCGCGGUAAUACGGAGGGUGCGAGCGUUAAUCGGAAUAACUGGGCGUAAAGGGCACGCAGGCGGAUACUUAAGUGAGGUGUGAAAGCCCUGGGCUUAACCUAGGAAUUGCAUUUCAUACUGGGUAUUAGAGUAUUUUAGGGAGGGGUAGAAUUCCACGUGUAGCGGUGAAAUGUGUAGAGAUGUGGAGGAAUACCGAAGGGGAAGGCAGCCCCUUGGGGGAAUACUGACGGUCAUGUGGGAAAGCGUGGGGAGCAAACAGG